UUUGCUAUUUAAAGUGGGUCGCGAGCUGGGUUUAGAACGUCGUGAGACAGUUCGGUCCCUAUCUGCCGUGGGCGCUGGAGAAUUGAGGGGGGCUGCUCCUAGUACGAGAGGACCGGAGUGGACGCAUCACUGGUGUUCGGGUUGUCAUGCCAAUGGCAUUGCCCGGUAGCUAAAUGCGGAAGAGAUAAGUGCUGAAAGCAUCUAAGCACGAAACUUGCCCCGAGAUGAGUUCUCCCUGAGACUUUAAGUCUCCUGAAGGAACGUUGAAGACGACGACGUUGAUAGGUCGGGUGUGUAAGUGUAGCGAUACAUUGAGCUAACCGAUACUAAUGAACCGUGAGGCUUAACCUUACAACGCCGAAGGUGUUU
This 369-nucleotide ribosomal RNA is filed under the name Citrobacter freundii. RNAcentral describes it as "partial 23S ribosomal RNA". It matches the Rfam family "Bacterial large subunit ribosomal RNA", at positions 2580 to 2925 of the family's 2925-position model. The record is from RNAcentral. Lineage: Bacteria; Pseudomonadati; Pseudomonadota; Gammaproteobacteria; Enterobacterales; Enterobacteriaceae.